GACGAACGCUGGCGGCGUGCCUAAUACAUGCAAGUCGAACGAGAGCGACCGGUGCUUGCACUGGUCAAUCUAGUGGCGAACGGGUGAGUAACACGUGGGUAACCUGCCCAUCAGAGGGGGAUAACAUCCGGAAACGGAUGCUAAAACCGCGUAGGUCUUCGAACCGCAUGGUUUGAAGAGGAAAAGAGGCGCAAGCUUCUGCUGAUGGAUGGACCCGCGGUGCAUUAGCUAGUUGGUGAGGUAACGGCUCACCAAGGCCGUGAUGCAUAGCCGACCUGAGAGGGUGAUCGGCCACAUUGGGACUGAGACACGGCCCAAACUCCUACGGGAGGCAGCAGUAGGGAAUCUUCCGCAAUGGACGCAAGUCUGACGGAGCAACGCCGCGUGAGUGAAGAAGGUUUUCGGAUCGUAAAACUCUGUUGUUAGAGAAGAACAAGUGCUAGAGUAACUGUUAGCGCCUUGACGGUAUCUAACCAGAAAGCCACGGCUAACUACGUG
RNAcentral lists this ribosomal RNA (498 nucleotides) under uncultured bacterium. RNAcentral's name for it is "partial 16S ribosomal RNA". It matches the Rfam family "Bacterial small subunit ribosomal RNA", at positions 28 to 507 of the family's 1533-position model. The record is from RNAcentral.